GGGUUACCUACCGAUUCUGUUUUUUUCUAGCACACUAUAUUAAUAGGUUUUGUAGAUUUUUUUAAUGUGUUUGAAAAAACCUUUCAAAAAAAAAUUCUUUCAAAAAACAAGAAAAAUAAUCAGAAAUUACUAGUGUAUUAUUUAUUCAACUUGUAUAAUAUUUGUAGUUCAUUUUCCUUUAACUUGAUUUCCCUUUUAUGUCAGUAUUUGACCAUUUUCUCUCUUAAUAUUUCAGCCAUUGUCAUUACAAGAUCAUAGUUUUCUAAUUAUACCAGUCAAGCUUUUGUUUCCCAACUGCAUGUAUUGGGUGGAGGGAACAGUGACUAAUAAGCAAUGUAAUGACGUGUUUACCCAUCAUUGACUAGGUGAGUAUCUAUUUUGUAAGUUGUGUUUGUAGGGGUGAUACAGUCAGAUUCUUAAAUAUAUGCAUGCGGCGUUUGUCCCGGUGAUGGUAAACAAUAAAAUAGGCAACGGUUAUCUUUUCUAAAAAAAAAGAAAUAGUCAACUUUUCUAGGGGUCAACUUUAUUAAUGUAUAUCUCAGUACAAUUAUUAAGUUUUACUUGAUCAUCAUUUUAAAAACGUUUUGAUUAAUCAGUAUUUAAUUUUUAUAUUUAUUACCUUAGGUUUUA
This is a long non-coding RNA of Raphanus sativus (radish), 630 nucleotides long. RefSeq lists it as uncharacterized. The transcript has 2 exons. Lineage: Eukaryota; Viridiplantae; Streptophyta; Magnoliopsida; Brassicales; Brassicaceae. The record is from RefSeq and is a predicted model, not a curated record.